Molecule: non-coding RNA, 46 nt
Organism: Ailuropoda melanoleuca (giant panda)
Lineage: Eukaryota; Metazoa; Chordata; Mammalia; Carnivora; Ursidae
Source: Rfam
UCAAAGGCCCUUUUCAGGGCCACCCAUCUAGUCACUAGAAAGAGUU